This 252-nucleotide ribosomal RNA is filed under the name uncultured bacterium. Its description in RNAcentral is "partial 16S ribosomal RNA". It matches the Rfam family "Bacterial small subunit ribosomal RNA", at positions 1250 to 1500 of the family's 1533-position model. The record is from RNAcentral.
CGGAAGCCGCGAGGCGGAGCGAAUCCCNGAAAAUGCGUCCCAGUUCGGACUGCAGCCUGCAACCCGGCUGCACGAAGCCGGAAUCGCUAGUAAUCGCAGAUCAGCAUGCUGCGGUGAAUACGUUCCCGGGUCUUGUACACACCGCCCGUCACACCAUGGGAGCCGGGAAUGCCCGAAGUCAGCGGCCUAACCGCAAGGAGGGAGCUGCCGAAGGCAGGCCUGGUGACUGGGGUGAAGUCGUAACAAGGUAAC